Transfer RNA from Aureobasidium subglaciale EXF-2481, 91 nucleotides. It matches the Rfam family "tRNA". From Rfam's summary of the family: Transfer RNA (tRNA) molecules are approximately 80 nucleotides in length. Their secondary structure includes four short double-helical elements and three loops (D, anti-codon, and T loops). Further hydrogen bonds mediate the characteristic L-shaped molecular structure. tRNAs have two regions of fundamental functional importance: the anti-codon, which is responsible for specific mRNA codon recognition, and the 3' end, to which the tRNAs corresponding amino acid is attached (by aminoacyl-tRNA synthetases). tRNAs cope with the degeneracy of the genetic code in two manners: having more than one tRNA (with a specific anti-codon) for a particular amino acid; and 'wobble' base-pairing, i.e. permitting non-standard base-pairing at the 3rd anti-codon position. The record is from Rfam. Lineage: Eukaryota; Fungi; Ascomycota; Dothideomycetes; Dothideales; Saccotheciaceae.
UCUUCAUUGGUCUAGUGGUCAUGAUUUCCGCUUGUCAAGAGUAAGAUCUCGUCAGGCGCGGGAGACCAGGGUUCGAUUCCCUGAUGGAGAG